This 440-nucleotide ribosomal RNA is filed under the name uncultured bacterium. Its description in RNAcentral is "partial 16S ribosomal RNA". It matches the Rfam family "Bacterial small subunit ribosomal RNA", at positions 338 to 795 of the family's 1533-position model. The record is from RNAcentral.
ACUACGGGUGGCAGCAGUGGGGGAUAUUGCACAAUGGGGGAAACCCUGAUGCAGCGACGCCGCGUGAGCGCUGAAGUAUUUCGGUAUGUAAAGCUCUAUCAGCAGGGAAGAAAAUUACGGUACCUGACUAAGCAGCCCCGGCUAACUACGUGCCAGCAGCCGCGGUAAUCAGUAGGGGGCAAGCGUUCUCCGGAUUUACUGGGUGUAAAGGGCGCGUAGACAGCAGUUCAAGUCGGAAGUGAAAGGCAAGGGCUCAACCCUUGGACUGCUUUGGAACCUGUGCUGCUGGAGUGUAGGAGAGGCAAGUGGAAUUCCUAGUGUAGCGGUGAAAUGCGUAGAGAGUAGGAGGAACACCAGUGGCGAAGGCGGCUUGCUGGACGAUGACUGACGUUGAGGCUCGAAAGCGUGGGGAGCAAACAGGAUUAGAUACCCCUGUAGUC